RNAcentral lists this ribosomal RNA (458 nucleotides) under uncultured bacterium. RNAcentral describes it as "bacterial SSU rRNA". It matches the Rfam family "Bacterial small subunit ribosomal RNA", at positions 338 to 795 of the family's 1533-position model. The record is from RNAcentral.
CCUACGGGGGGCUGCAGUGAGGAAUAUUGGUCAAUGGGCGCAACCCUGAACCAGCGACGCCGCGUGAGGGAUGACGGGGCUUUGCCUUGUAAACCUCUGUCAGAAGGGAAAAGAAGGUUGUUUGGCGACCUGGGCUUGUACCUUCGGAGGAAGCACCGGCUAACUACGUGCCAGCAGCCGCGGUAAUACGUAGGGUGCAAACGUUGUCCGGAAUUACUGGGUGUAAAGGGUGCACAGGCGGUUUUGUGCGUCAGAGGUUAAAUGCCACGGCUCAACUGUGGACCUGCCUUUGAUACGGCAAGACUUGAGUGGAAGAGAGGAUGAUAGAACUCCUGGUGUAGCGGUGAAAUGCGUAGAUAUCAGGAAGAAUACCAUUUGCGAAGGCGGUCAUCCGGCUUUCAACUGACGCUUAAGCACGAAAGCGUGGGUAGCGAACAGGCUUAGAUACCCCGGUAGUC